AACCAACGCUGGCGGCGUGCCUCAGACAUGCAAGUCGAACGAUUAAAGCUCUCUUCGGAGAGUGCAUAGAGUGGCGCACGGGUGAGUAACACGUAAGUAAUCUACCUUCGAGUGGGGAAUAACGUCCGGAAACGGACGCUAAUACCGCAUAAUGCAGCGGCAUCGCAAGAUGACAGUUGUUAAAGGAGCAAUUCGCUUGAAGAGGAGCUUGCGGCAGAUUAGCUAGUUGGUAAGGUAAUGGCUUACCAAGGCUACGAUCUGUAACCGGUCUAAGAGGACGGUCGGUCACACUGACACUGAAUAACGGGUCAGACUCCUACGGGAGGCAGCAGUCGGGAAUUUUGGGCAAUGGGCGAAAGCUUGACCCAGCAACGCCGCGUGAAGGAUGAAGUAUUUCGGUAUGUAAACUUCGAAAGAAUGGGAAGAAUCAAUGACGGUACCAUUUAUAAGGUCCGGCUAACUACGUGCCAGCAGCCGCAGUAA
RNAcentral lists this ribosomal RNA (483 nucleotides) under uncultured bacterium. RNAcentral describes it as "partial 16S ribosomal RNA". It matches the Rfam family "Bacterial small subunit ribosomal RNA", at positions 32 to 523 of the family's 1533-position model. The record is from RNAcentral.